This 69-nucleotide transfer RNA is filed under the name Marmota monax (woodchuck). RNAcentral's name for it is "tRNA.Ala". Lineage: Eukaryota; Metazoa; Chordata; Mammalia; Rodentia; Sciuridae. The record is from RNAcentral.
UUUGUGGCUCAGUGGUAGAGCAUGUGUUUAGCAUAUGAGAGGCCCUGGCUUCAAUCCCCAGCACCAAAA